UGCGAAGGCGGUCGUCUAAGUCGGAGGUGAAAUGUCUACGGCUCAACCGAGGCAUUGCCUCCGAUACUGGACGACUUGAGUGCGGAAGGGGAGCGUGGAAUUCCUGGUGUAGCGGUGAAAUGCGUAGAUAUCAGGAGGAACACCGGUGGCGAAGGCGACGCUCUGGUCCGCAACUGACGCUCAUGCACGAAAGCCAGGGGAGCGAACG
This 208-nucleotide ribosomal RNA is filed under the name uncultured bacterium. RNAcentral's name for it is "partial 16S ribosomal RNA". It matches the Rfam family "Bacterial small subunit ribosomal RNA", at positions 568 to 774 of the family's 1533-position model. The record is from RNAcentral.